AUUCAAGUUUUUUCUUCCAACAAAGCUCUAGAAACCAUAAUUAAUGAACUUACCUCUUUAGUGAAAUAGUUGAUGGUACCCCUGCCACCACCACCACCACAGAACCCUCCCUAAGUAGCCACCUUUUCACCUUCCAGACCUUCACUUGAGGAUCUUGUCAAACAAAUGAUUGUGAAUAAUCUUCAGUUUCAAUAACGAACAGACUAUAGUAUU
Molecule: long non-coding RNA, 213 nt
Filed under: Lathyrus oleraceus (garden pea)
Lineage: Eukaryota; Viridiplantae; Streptophyta; Magnoliopsida; Fabales; Fabaceae
Description: Pisum sativum (pea) long non-coding RNA (PSAT_LNC009275)
Source: RNAcentral